AGGUAAGGAGAAAGAAGGUCUAGAUCAUUGCACAUAGUAGACUAGCUCCUUUCUUCAUUUGGUGCCUUUUGCUCGUGCAUUAGCUGAACUACUAUUACUUUUAUCAUACAAAAAAGAAAACUGCAUCAGAAGGAUUAGGAUGCUAUGGUGACUGGCUAGCUGGAUCUAUAUGGAUUGAUGGAAAAAGGGAAGAGUGGCUCAGCUGCAGAUAAAACAAUGGGAGGAAGCAACCGCCACUUCCCACUUUCAACGUCUCUCGGCCAUGAACAAAAAGGGGAAAAUCUCAUAAGUAUAUACAUCAAAAAAAGGAGAAAGGAGCGGGGGGCAAACAAAGAGAACAAAAGUAAGAGGAAAUAGAAAUCAUCGGAGCAUGGAAGAUAGUUGGAAGAGUAGCACAUUGAAGAAGAGAACGAGUCAUGACAAAGAAAAUUAAGAGUGAGACAAGUCCACAAACACGAAGGAACUGAGGAGCUCCGAGAGAUGAUAUUACAGGUGAUGCUGGCGAUGCAUAGAGAUGGAGAUAGGGCUAGCUUGGGGACUUGCGCUAGGAAAUAAAUUAUGUUUUCUUCUAUUUUGUCGGAUUUUGGAUAUUGUAAUAAGAUUAUUACUUUAGCUUUAAUCGAAUUUUGGCACAUUGAAUAAUGUUUUAAAUUUUCCCGUGUUUGGGAAUAAUAAAAUUUUGUCGUUUGAUCUUCA
This is an RNA transcript of Vigna unguiculata (cowpea), 696 nucleotides long. RefSeq lists it as uncharacterized. The record is from RefSeq and is a predicted model, not a curated record. Lineage: Eukaryota; Viridiplantae; Streptophyta; Magnoliopsida; Fabales; Fabaceae.